RNAcentral lists this ribosomal RNA (711 nucleotides) under Triticum aestivum (bread wheat). Its description in RNAcentral is "partial small subunit ribosomal RNA". Lineage: Eukaryota; Viridiplantae; Streptophyta; Magnoliopsida; Poales; Poaceae. The record is from RNAcentral.
AUGCUGGAGGCGGCGGCGAUCCCUGAGCUGUGGAGCACCGUGCACGGGUGGUUCACCCCAUGGGUGCUGUUCCUCGUGCUCAACCUCGUCGUCUUCACCAUCGUCGUCACCUCCAUGGCCACGGCCCCGGCGAAGGGCGGAGAAGGGGCUGCGCCCGGUGCUGACUGCGAGAGGAGGAACCUGGCCGGCCGGCCGUCAAUGGAGCUCGACCGGCACCGGUCGCCCAACCUGCCUCGCUUCACCGCCCCCGCACCUGAGGCCCCGGCGACCGGAGUACUGGAUCUGGGGCAGCCCGACAAUCAGCCGCCGCCGCUCGAGAUGGAGCCGGAGAAUCCGGGUGAGCGCGAGCACGCGCACAUGGAGAGGAGCAUGUCUGAGGCGGCAGUGGAGGCCGAGCUGCCGCGGCGGCCGGCGAGGCUGCGCAAGUCGGCGUUCGCGCACGUCGUGGCCAAGAAGGACACCGAGGUGGUGGAGGUGCGCAGGCUGGCGACGACGACGGACGCGGAGCGCCGCCGCCCCCUGGUGGUCAAAGUGGAGGAACCGGCGUCGGAGGAGGAGAUCCAGGAGGCCGGCAGCGAGGUGGACGCGCGCGCGGACGAGUUCAUCAACAAGUUCCACCACCAGCUGAAGCAGCAGCGCAUCGACUCCUUCAGGCGCUCCCGGAAUACGCUCCACCGCCGCCGGACGGCCGUGGUGCCAGAGGCGCGCUAG